UUUACUACGUAUUUAUUCAUUUCCUCCGAUCUAGCUUAUUUAAAAGCUGUUAAGAACUUUCAGUGUUAAGGGAUUUGCGUGUUGCUUUCUAAACUAUAUUCAUUUUUUUUAACCGUUAGCUGAGGACAUCUGCUGUGCAAUAACAAAACUAACAGGUAAAGAUUUAGUACUUUAAGUACGUCAUGCGAAAGGGGAAUGCUUAAAAAUUUAAGCGUCUGCUAUUACAAAAGAAACGUGUAAAGCUGUUUCGUGAAGGGUAACGUUUAAAUUCAAAGUUAAACUUCUGCGUUCCCGGGCACAGCUCUGGACAAGCAUGUUCCCGUUAGACUCGCCCUGGAGCAUCUCCUUCGCAGGCUGCGGCUUCCUGGGGAUCUACCACAUCGGUGUGGCCAGCUGUCUGCUGGAGCAGGCUCCUUUCCUGGUGCAGAACGCCAGACACAUCUACGGAGCCUCUGCUGGGGCCCUCACCGCCACUGCCUUGGUCACUGGAGUGUGUCUUGGAGAUGCUGGGGCGAGCAUAAUUGAAGUCGCCAAAGAGGCAAGGAAGCGGCUCCUUGGACCCAUGCAUCCCACCUUUAACCUGGUGAAGAUUGUACGUCAGGUCCUGAGGCGCACUCUGCCCGCCGACAGCCCCCACCGAGCCAACGGGCGACUGGGAAUCUCUCUGACCCGGGUGGCAGAUGGAGAAAACGUCCUGGUGUCUCACUUCAACAAUAAGGAGGAGCUGAUUCAGGCAUGUGUCUGCAGUGCCUACAUCCCCGUGUAUUGUGGCCUCAUUCCUCCCACACUUCAAGGAGUGCGAUAUGUUGACGGGGGAAUCUCCGACAACCUGCCGCAGUAUGAGCUGAAGAACACCAUCACCGUCUCCCCCUUUUCCGGAGAGAGCGACAUCUGCCCUCGAGACACUUCCACCAACAUCCACGAGCUGCGUUUCACCAACACAAGCAUCCAGUUCACCCUCACCAACCUAUACAGAGUCUCUAGGGCGCUUUUCCCACCAAAUCCAAUGGUCAUGAAGGGAAUGUGCAAGCAGGGAUACAAAGACGCUCUGCACUUUUUAAAGAGAAACGGAUUGCUUAGUUACACUGGGCCUCAAACAGACAGACCUUUGCUGGCCAACAGAGAAGAACAUAAGGCUUGUGAUGAAGAGAGGGCUGAGAAAAACAACAAGGCAGAAGAGAAGCCACAGGUGGAGGCAAAAGUUGAGCUUCAUGCCAGCUCCUCACUAGACGAGCAUAUCAUCGAGUACCUUCCACCUGCCGUGCACAAAGCUCUACUGGAGGCCUGCCUGGAGAGGAGGAGCCUGGUGCAGUCUCUGGGCAACCUGCUCCCUUUCAGGAUGGCAUCAGCCCUGAUGCUCCCCUACACUCUGCCUCUGGAGUCUGCCGUGUCCUUGACUCUCAGGCUUCUGGAGUGGCUUCCAGAUGUGCAGGAGGAUGUGGGCUGGAUCCGAGAGCAGAUAGUGAAAAUCCUGCAGCGUCUUCUGCAUCAGGCUUCCAGAAACUUCUCGCAGCACGUGUCUGCCAGGCUGUUCUGCCACCUGGAGCUGCACCAUUACAGGUACCUCCCAUCCAAGCCCAGCUCCAGCAACCUCUUUCCUGCCUGGAUGAACAGCAGCGGCUCUUCAAUGCAGGACGUGUUCGACCGGUACAAGAACCGGUUGCUGUCUGGGGUUCUCUGCAUCGACAUGGACCUGCAAGGCUCCUUCAAAACCGGUCGGAUCCCACCAGAGACCAGCCGCGUGGCCAGCUUUUUCCAGCAAGACUUUGCAGAAUGCAAAGGUUAUUUUAAUAAUCCUCAAGGUGGCAAACCUGCUAAACCUCUGAGCAGAUCUAAGAGCUUUUGGUAGGCUUCAGCUGUGAUCACAAUCCUGAUCCAGGAAGAGUGAAAAGCAAAACUAGGGCUAAACACUAAGAUAUGUUAAAGUGGCGAUGUUGAUAUUGCAUUUGAAAUGCAGUCAGCUGCUUUGUGUAAGUACUUUGGAAAAGAAUUCAUACAUCCCUUAAGUUUACACCAACACAAAGUGCAUACCUGUGAAAUGGAAGAAAAAUGAAUGUUUUUCACUUUUUAUCUCCAAUCAAAAAUACGAGAAUAGCAUGUGUUUGUAGUCAGCCCUGCUGGAGCCACGUCUCACUGUAUCGUUAGAUAUUGAGAGACUGACAUUUUCACCCAUUCGUCAACCUCAGUCAGAAUGAAUGGAAAGGGAACGUGAAAAGCAAGUCUUCCCUCAACUUCCCAACCAAAUUUAGGCCUGGACUUUGACUGGGCCUUUCCAAUACAUAAAUAUGUUCCAGUUUCAGGUCUAACACAUCCUCUAACAUGUUUUCUUCAAGGAUAGCCCAGUUUUACAACUUAUGACCUGCUUUCUUAUCCUGGUGGAAUAGAAGCAUCUCCACAUCCUGUUACUGCAAUGUUUCACUGUCUGGAUGAUGUGUUCAGGGUUAUUGGCAGUGUUAGUUCUCUGCCACACAGUGUUUUUUGUUGUUGUUUUGUUUUUGUUUUUUUCUUUCCAAAUGCAUGCGGCAUGCCACACUUUUCAGAUAUUUAAUUGUAAAUAAUCUCAAAAGCCAUGCAUCCAUUUUCUUUCACUUAUGGAAGACUGUUUCAUUUUCUACUUAAAAUUCCAAAAACUACAGCGAGGUGUAAGGCGUGGCAAAAAUCUACAAAACUUCAAGAACCAUAAAUAGUUUUUUAAAGCACAGGCACGCUUACAGGGUGUUCGACGAUUUUGGACCGAUGCCUGAGUCAGAAAUAAGCCAUUAGAUUCAGGCAUUCAUGGAGUAUUACAUCAAUGGAAGCACACUUAAAAUUUGCACAGUUAGUCAGUCAUGCACAAACUUGAAUUACAGGAUGUUACAAAGAUUUAGCACAGUAAAAAAAAAAAAAAAUGUGUUGAUGGUUUUAGUGGAAGGCAGUCAGCCACAAAGUGAAGCAGCAUUUUCCUGCCUGCAAUUACUUUUGGCUCACAGGAAGCACUGGAGAUAACGGAAAACAUUAGAGUUGGUUUGUUAGAAGCAGUUACUCCAUUUGUGUGAUGCAAUUUCCAAUGCACUAUGUUUAAAGAAAGCUUACUUUGUUUUUUAUAAAUGUACUAAUGUAAAUGGCUAAAACAAAUUGAUGUGUAUGCAGUACAUGAACGUACUGUAGUGGUCAUGUAUAUUUCCAAUCAUACUUUUUGUGAUUUUUUAUUGUUCUUUUUUUUCACUGCUUCUUACUUUAGUUAAUUAUUUUAAAAUAUGUUUUGUAUUUUGUUCAGUGUCAAUCAUUUGUUUCUGUACUUCUCAUAUUCUACUUAUUAAGUAACCAAGCUCUUUAAGUACUCUUCAUGUACAGUGUGUUUCGUUUUAAUCGAGCUAUAAGAACAUUUGAUUUGCUAAAAGCUUAUAUGUUUUUUUCCAACUCAAUGUAAUGUGCUGAAUUUGUCACCAGGUGUCAUCAUGUUUAGAGUUUGUGAUCAUAAAAUAAACUGGUAAUCCCCAUGAUAA
This is a non-coding RNA of Poecilia reticulata (guppy), 3485 nucleotides long. The record is from RefSeq and is a predicted model, not a curated record. NCBI's taxonomy places the organism in Eukaryota, Metazoa, Chordata, Actinopteri, Cyprinodontiformes, Poeciliidae.